AGCAGCCGCGGUAAUUCCAGCUCCAAUAGCGUAUAUUAAAGUUGUUGCAGUUAAAAAGCUCGUAGUUGAAUUUCGGGGUUCUACCGUUGGUCGGGCUAUUGUCUGUACUGGCGUGUAGAAUUUCUACCUUCUGGGGAACUAUCAUGUUAUUAAUUUAGCGUGGUAGGAAACCAGGACCUUUACCUUGAAAAAAUUAGAGUGUUCAAAGCAGGCUUAUGUCUGAAUACAUUAGCAUGGAAUAAUAAAAUAGGACGGUGGUCCUGUUUUGUUGGUUUCUGAAUCACCGUAAUGAUUAAUAGGGAUAGUUGGGGGCAUUAGUAUUCAAUUGUCAGAGGUGAAAUUCUUGGAUUUAU
RNAcentral lists this ribosomal RNA (353 nucleotides) under uncultured Racocetra. RNAcentral describes it as "SSU rRNA". It matches the Rfam family "Eukaryotic small subunit ribosomal RNA", at positions 569 to 929 of the family's 1831-position model. The record is from RNAcentral. Lineage: Eukaryota; Fungi; Glomeromycota; Glomeromycetes; Diversisporales; Gigasporaceae.